CAGCCUGAAGUGAUGAUUCACAUUCAUGUCUCUUCUCUGAUGAGCUCUUGAAGGAGAUUCUGUGUGGCUGAUCAGGCCU
This is a small nucleolar RNA of Phodopus roborovskii (desert hamster), 79 nucleotides long. RefSeq annotates it as small nucleolar RNA SNORD111. Lineage: Eukaryota; Metazoa; Chordata; Mammalia; Rodentia; Cricetidae. The transcript has a single exon. The record is from RefSeq and is a predicted model, not a curated record.